UGCCCUAAAGGUUAAGUAUUACCUUUAGGGCAACCAUGUAGCAUGUAGCA
RNAcentral lists this non-coding RNA (50 nucleotides) under unclassified sequences. Its description in RNAcentral is "ssNA-helicase RNA". It matches the Rfam family "ssNA-helicase RNA". Rfam says of the family: Firmicutes, Actinobacteria (1 example). Downstream gene The record is from Rfam by way of RNAcentral.